This 100-nucleotide microRNA precursor is filed under the name Chlorocebus sabaeus (green monkey). Its description in RNAcentral is "miRNA (ENSCSAG00000024581.1)". Lineage: Eukaryota; Metazoa; Chordata; Mammalia; Primates; Cercopithecidae. The record is from RNAcentral.
GAGGUGGGAGGAUUGCUUGAGCCCAGGAGGUUGAGGCUUCAGUGAGUUGUGACCGCACCACUGCACUCCAGCCUGGGUGACAGAGCAAGACCUUGUCUCA